GUAAAUGUCCCUCAUCUAAAAGGGCUCCGCGUACUGGACUGGUACCUCAUCAGGCACCUGCUCCUGCUGAGCUGCAGCUCUCCUAUGACGCCUCCUAGGUUCUACCCCUGCUGCAUCUGUUGCUCCUACUGCUCCUGCCUCAGCACAGAACUGGUGGAAAUAUGCUGCAUCAAUGGCAUUCCUAAGUCUCUCAUAUGGGGGAACUGCAAUGUCCACCCUAGCCUGCUGACACAGAAAAGUGAUCAAAGAUGGAUGCCCCAAUGACAUCCUCCUACUAACUGUCAUGGCACAACUCCGAA
Molecule: long non-coding RNA, 299 nt
Filed under: Vigna radiata
Lineage: Eukaryota; Viridiplantae; Streptophyta; Magnoliopsida; Fabales; Fabaceae
Description: long non-coding RNA (VRAD_LNC016528)
Source: RNAcentral